GCGUAGGUAGUAUAAUGGUUAUUAUCUCGGUUUCCCAUCAUAUGGCCCGGUUUGAACCGGGAAUUGAACCCGGAUUUACGUAAUCUACCGAGGAACCGGGUUCGAUUCCCGGCCUACGCA
RNAcentral lists this transfer RNA (120 nucleotides) under Ceratobasidium sp. 428. Its description in RNAcentral is "tRNA-Gly". It matches the Rfam family "tRNA". From Rfam's summary of the family: Transfer RNA (tRNA) molecules are approximately 80 nucleotides in length. The record is from RNAcentral. Lineage: Eukaryota; Fungi; Basidiomycota; Agaricomycetes; Cantharellales; Ceratobasidiaceae.